AGAUGUUGGAUAUCUUAAGGGGUAGGUCUAUAUCUUACCUUUUGAUUUGUUUUAUUUUUCAAUCUUCCAUGGCACCUGACUCAACACUUUGCACAGAGAAUGAAAGAUGGAAGAAAUGAAGUAGUGGACAAGCAAACAUCAAUGUGGAGACAGAUUCUCAUUUUCCCCAUUUGGUCUUGGCUGCUUAAGAAAAGGUGAAAAGCAGGAGAAGAUGCUUCCCGGUACUGCAACGUAGGGCAAAGUGGAGCUGACAAAUGGAAAGAAUGUGACCUUGGGAAUGAGAUUCUUGCCUUUUCUGAGGUGCCCCAGCUUUGUCCCUGAAUAUGUGCUUAAUCUGCCAGCCAGGGAUCCAGAAGCACCAUCUCCCUGUCUGCAUUCUGAUCACCCACCUCACUUCCAGGUUCACCCUGCCUUUGUGAGCUGUAACACUCACCGUGAAAGUCUGCAGCUUGACUCUUGAGCCAGUAAGACCAGGAGCCCACCAGAAGGAGGAAACUCCGAACACAUCUGAAUAUCAGAAGGAACAGAACACAUCUGAAUAUCAGAAGGAACAAACUCCGGACACGCUACCUUUAAAAACUGUAAUACUCACCGCGAGGGUCUGCGGUUUCAUUCAUGAAGUCAGUGAGACAAAGAACUCACCAAUUCCGGACACAGUGGGAGCAAAGGCAUGGCAGGAGGAGAGAACUGCGUGUGUGAGGAAUAAAAACAACAUGUUGCAAUUGAGGAAGGCGUGAAUUUAUGGGGAGAAUACAGAGAUGAAGACUUAAAACGAAUGGAAGGCCAAGGAGAUGAAAUGGAAGACUUUGGACAGAACUUCUGGGAAAGCUCUUUAAAGCAGUCUACUAGACUGGCAAGCAGACAUUCAUUCUCCUCUUCUGACUUAGACAUGGUAUUUUUAGCUCCAGCAGCCGUCCUGUGAAGAUGGGAGCACACGCUAAGGGCAGCAGAAAAGAAAGCCAGAAGGAGGUUGGAUAUUGAUAACCACCGUGGUGCCAUCUUACCAGCCCUCGGCCACCUACCCCAGCCUUCCGGUUAUGAGAAAGAAAAACAAAAUUAGCUUAAGCUACUAUUAUGUAGAGGUCUCAAUUCCUAAGAGUUUAAUGCAUUUCCUUAAACACAUAUGCAUGUUGCAGAAUGCCCAGCUGGAAAUUAAACUUUUUAAAAAUUUAUUAAUUUAUUUAGAGAAGGGGAAUCUCACUAUGUUGCCCAGGCUGGCCUCAAACUCCUGGGCUCAAGUGAACCUCCUGCCUCAGCCUCCCGAGUAACUGGGACUACAGGCAUGUACCACCAUGCACGGCUGAAAUUAAACUUUGUGGGUGUUUUUCAGGUCUGGAAAAGGGGUACCAGAAAGUCAACUUGGCUUUUUCACCUGCCUAGUCCAAUCUCUUGAGCCAUCAAAAUAUCUCUCUCCAUCUUCAGUGCUGCUUAAGGUUUCUGGAGACUUACCUGGGUAGCCAAGGCUGGGAGAGUGAGGAAUAGCUCUAUUAUCUGGUAAGGAGAUUUGUAAUCAGCCCCUUCAUGUUUUCAGAAAUCCAGACAGAGCCCUAGAGAGAGACUGGGGAAGGGAAUGCAGUUGGGGCUCUAGAUUCAUGUAUUUGUAGGGAGAUUUCUAAAUAUUGUGUGUCUACUGUAUGCCAGGCAGUGUCUAGGCACUGGGGUGCAGCAAUGAAUGAAAGAUAAGAUCCCUGCCCUCAUGGAGUUUGCACUCUACUGGGGCCUGUGGAAGGAAGCUGAGCUGUGUUACAGAAUCACCCCAGUUGAGGUGACUGUGCAGGUGAAUAUGGAGACAAAAUCUACUCUCUGACCUCAGCCAGUGAGGGUGCUACAGCCUGCCAUAGAGCCCUGCACUCUUUCAGAGAGGGUUUCUCUCCCAGGCCAGCUGUCACUCUAAUCUGCCCUCCCCACUGUGAUCCCAGCUGGACACAUGGCUCACUGGUUUUUCUGUUACUUUGUAAGUGCAGAUAAGAACUCUAUUCCUCACACUUUGGGGACAGAACAGAGUAAGCUGGGGUACACUGAGCUUGGAGAAGGGGAAGUACGGGUCUGGCUAAAUAUUUAUAAAAUCUUGAUUUUUUUUCCUAAGGACAGAAGUCAAAUAGAAUAUAUACACUGAUUACAACCACUUAUUCAUUCAUUCAUUUUAUAAUGAAUAUAGAAUAUGACCAGCAAUGUGCUGGGCACUUGAUCUUAUUCACUUCCACAGAAACCCUGGGAGCAAAGUACUGUUAUCUUCAUUUUACAAACAAGGAGAUCAAUGCUUAGAGAAGUGAAUUAUCUUGAUUGGGUGCUGUAAGAAAUCAAAAUAGAUCUAUCUGAGUCUAAGGCUGCAUUCUUUCUGCUUCAUUAUUCUGCCUCCCCCAUGCCAGUCUGCAACUAAAGACACCGUGUCCUAGAGAAUGUUGCCAGUUUUUUUUUUUUGUUUU
This is a long non-coding RNA of Homo sapiens (human), 2426 nucleotides long. RefSeq annotates it as MBOAT1 antisense RNA 1. NCBI's taxonomy places the organism in Eukaryota, Metazoa, Chordata, Mammalia, Primates, Hominidae. The record is from RefSeq and is a predicted model, not a curated record. The transcript is spliced from 4 exons.